RNAcentral lists this transfer RNA (71 nucleotides) under Marmota monax (woodchuck). Its description in RNAcentral is "tRNA.Thr". It matches the Rfam family "tRNA". Rfam says of the family: Transfer RNA (tRNA) molecules are approximately 80 nucleotides in length. Their secondary structure includes four short double-helical elements and three loops (D, anti-codon, and T loops). The record is from RNAcentral. Lineage: Eukaryota; Metazoa; Chordata; Mammalia; Rodentia; Sciuridae.
GGGGUUGUGGCUCAGUGGUAGAGUGCUUACCUGGUAUGUGUGAGGUCCUGGGUUCCAUCCUCAGCACCACA